RNAcentral lists this ribosomal RNA (465 nucleotides) under uncultured bacterium. RNAcentral describes it as "partial 16S ribosomal RNA". It matches the Rfam family "Bacterial small subunit ribosomal RNA", at positions 338 to 795 of the family's 1533-position model. The record is from RNAcentral.
CCUACGGGUGGCAGCAGUGGGGCAUUUUGCGCACUGAGCGAAAGCCUGACGCAGCGACGCCGCGUGAGGGAUGAAGGUCUUCGGAUCGUAAACCUCUGUCAGCAGGGAAGAACCGUCACUGUGCUAAUCAGCAGUGAAUUGACGGUACCUGCAAAGGAAGCACCGGCUACCUCCGUGCCCUCAGACACGGUAAUACGGAGGGUGCGGGCGUUAAUCGGAAUUACUGGGCGUAAAGCGCUCGUAGGCGGUAUGUCAAGUCAAGGGUGAAAUGCCCGCGCUCACCGUGGGAACUGCCUUUGAAACUGGCAAACUGGAGUGUGUGAGAGGAUAGUGGAAUUCCAGGUGGAGGAGUGAAAUCCGUAGAUAUCUGGAGGAACAUCAGUGGCGAAGGCGACUAUCUGGCACAUAACUGACGCUGAGGAGCGAAAGCGUGGGUAGCAAACAGGAUUAGAUACCCCUGUAGUC